AGUGAACGCUGGCGGUAGGCCUAACACAUGCAAGUCGAACGGCAGCACAGUAAGAGCUUGCUCUUACGGGUGGCGAGUGGCGGACGGGUGAGGAAUACAUCGGAAUCUACUUUUUCGUGGGGGAUAACGUAGGGAAACUUACGCUAAUACCGCAUACGACCUACGGGUGAAAGCAGGGGAUCUUCGGACCUUGCGCGAUUGAAUGAGCCGAUGUCGGAUUAGCUAGUUGGCGGGGUAAAGGCCCACCAAGGCGACGAUCCGUAGCUGGUCUGAGAGGAUGAUCAGCCACACUGGAACUGAGACACGGUCCAGACUCCUACGGGAGGCAGCAGUGGGGAAUAUUGGACAAUGGGCGCAAGCCUGAUCCAGCGAUACCACGUGGGUGAAGAAGGCCUUCGGGUUGUAAAGCCCUUUUGUUGGGAAAGAAAAGCAGCAGGUUAAUACCCCGCUGUUCUGACGGUACCUGAAGAAGAAGCACCGGCUAACUACGUG
RNAcentral lists this ribosomal RNA (492 nucleotides) under uncultured bacterium. RNAcentral's name for it is "partial 16S ribosomal RNA". It matches the Rfam family "Bacterial small subunit ribosomal RNA", at positions 29 to 507 of the family's 1533-position model. The record is from RNAcentral.